This 393-nucleotide ribosomal RNA is filed under the name Triticum aestivum (bread wheat). RNAcentral's name for it is "partial small subunit ribosomal RNA". Lineage: Eukaryota; Viridiplantae; Streptophyta; Magnoliopsida; Poales; Poaceae. The record is from RNAcentral.
AUGAAUUAUGCUUAUGUAUAUGAACUUUCUAUAGUUCCUUAUGUUAAGAAUGAAAUUGUUGCUAUUGCACCCACACAUGAUAGUACUAUUAUCUUUUUGAAUUCUCCAAACUACACUAUAUCGGAGAAGUUUGCACUUAUUAAGGAUUACAUUGACGGGUUUCAUUUUACCGUUGCACAUGAUGAUUUUGAUGAAUGUAAUAUGCAUGUUCUUGCUGCUCCUACUUGCAAUUAUUAUGAUAUAGGAACUAUAUCUCCACCUCUCUAUGUUUCCAACACGACAAAAUUGCAAGAAACUCUUAUGCUAUGUAUUGGCCUUUACUUGAUGUGCAUGAAUUGUUCUUUUAUGACAUGCCGAUGCAUAGGAAGAGAGUUAGACUUCGUCAUUGCAUGA